RNAcentral lists this ribosomal RNA (440 nucleotides) under uncultured bacterium. RNAcentral describes it as "partial 16S ribosomal RNA". It matches the Rfam family "Bacterial small subunit ribosomal RNA", at positions 338 to 795 of the family's 1533-position model. The record is from RNAcentral.
CCUACGGGAGGCAGCAGUUGGGGAUAUUGCACAAUGGGGGGAACCCUGAUGCAGCGACGCCGCGUGGGUGAAGAAGCGCCUCGGCGCGUAAAGCCCUGUCAGCAGGGAAGAAAAUGACGGUACCUGAAGAAGAAGCCCCGGCUAACUACGUGCCAGCAGCCGCGGUAAUACGUAGGGGGCAAGCGUUAUCCGGAUUUACUGGGUGUAAAGGGGGCGCAGACGGCGUUGCAAGCAUGGAGUGAAAUCCCGGGGCCUAACCCCGGGACUGCUCUUGGAACUGUGUGGCUGGAGUGCAGGAGGGGCAAGUGGAAUUCCUUGUGUAGCGGUGAAAUGCGUAGAUAUCAGGAGGAACACCGGUGGCGAAGGCGGCUUGCUGGACUGUAACUGACGUUGAGGCUCGAAAGCGUGGGGAGCAAACAGGAUUAGAUACCCUUGUAGUC